AUUAAUGCUUAAUAUAGUAUUAAAUACGAAAAUAUCAAUAUUUGACUAACAAAAUAUUAGAUUAUCACACAAAAUCAAAACCAGUAUUAUCAAUAACAACAAAAAUCAUCGCUUAUCCAUUAAAUUUAAUAAAAACCAACAUUUAAAUUCAUCAAAUAUUGGUGGAGGUAGUGGAUUCAUGGUAAAGAAAAUAGUUGAUGGUGAUGAACUUAUUGUUGAUGAAGUGGUCAGAGUGAUACUUAUACGAGGGAGGGGAAGGUAGAGAUAGAAUAAAACUAAUAAUUUUUUAUUUUAAUAAAGAUAAUUCUAUAAAGUAAUAAGAUUAUUUGAAAAGUGGAGCUGAUGAGAUAAUUUGAGGGGUUCAAUUAUCAUUACUCAGAACCGUUUACAUGGAGCUAAUUAAAAAUAGUGAAGUAAUUAAAUACGCUAAUCAUACACAGCUGCAAUGUUAACUAUUAAAACAGCCUAAUGAGCUUAGCCUCAGUUUGACCCUCACCGUUGAUCUACCAUUCCUAUCAUCACUACUUGCCACCUCGCAUUGUAUCAAAUCUCUUCUGUGACCUCAUUGUGCCCUCUCUUCGUAACACAUAAACACAACCAAUUCUUGUACCAAAUUACCAAAUAACCACAAAACUGUUAGAGAGUCGGUGUUAUUUUACUUACNNN
RNAcentral lists this long non-coding RNA (666 nucleotides) under Citrus x clementina. RNAcentral's name for it is "Citrus clementina (C. clementina) long non-coding RNA (CCLE_LNC000504)". Lineage: Eukaryota; Viridiplantae; Streptophyta; Magnoliopsida; Sapindales; Rutaceae. The record is from RNAcentral.